RNAcentral lists this ribosomal RNA (885 nucleotides) under Actinomycetales bacterium TLI146. RNAcentral's name for it is "bacterial SSU rRNA". It matches the Rfam family "Bacterial small subunit ribosomal RNA", at positions 99 to 995 of the family's 1533-position model. Lineage: Bacteria; Bacillati; Actinomycetota; Actinomycetes; Actinomycetales. The record is from RNAcentral.
CGAACGGGUGAGUAACACGUGAGUAACCUGCCCUUAACUCUGGGAUAAGCCUGGGAAACUGGGUCUAAUACCGGAUAUGACUCCUCAUCGCAUGGUGGGGGGUGGAAAGCUUUUUUGUGGUUUUGGAUGGACUCGCGGCCUAUCAGCUUGUUGGUGAGGUAAUGGCUUACCAAGGCGACGACGGGUAGCCGGCCUGAGAGGGUGACCGGCCACACUGGGACUGAAACACGGCCCAAACUCCUACGGGAGGCAGCAGUGGGGAAUAUUGCACAAUGGGCGCAAGCCUGAUGCAGCGACGCCGCGUGAGGGAUGACGGCCUUCGGGUUGUAAACCUCUUUCAGUAGGGAAGAAGCGAAAGUGACGGUACCUGCAAAAAAAGCGCCGGCUAACUACGUGCCAGCAGCCGCGGUAAUACGUAGGGCGCAAGCGUUAUCCGGAAUUAUUGGGCGUAAAGAGCUCGUAGGCGGUUUGUCGCGUCUGCCGUGAAAGUCCGGGGCUCAACUCCGGAUCUGCGGUGGGUACGGGCAGACUAGAGUGAUGUAGGGGAGACUGGAAUUCCUGGUGUAGCGGUGAAAUGCGCAGAUAUCAGGAGGAACACCGAUGGCGAAGGCAGGUCUCUGGGCAUUAACUGACGCUGAGGAGCGAAAGCAUGGGGAGCGAACAGGAUUAGAUACCCUGGUAGUCCAUGCCGUAAACGUUGGGCACUAGGUGUGGGGGACAUUCCACGUUUUCCGCGCCGUAGCUAACGCAUUAAGUGCCCCGCCUGGGGAGUACGGCCGCAAGGCUAAACUCAAAGGAAUUGACGGGGGCCCGCACAAGCGGCGGAGCAUGCGGAUUAAUUCGAUGCAACGCGAAGAACCUUACCAAGGCUUGACAUGAACCGGU